UACGAAGGGGGCGAGCGUUGUUCGGAUUUACUGGGCAUAAAGGGCGCGUAGGCGGCCCUCCUUGUCGCGUGUGAAAGCCCCGGGCUCAACCUGGGAAUUGCGCGCGAAACGGGCGGGCUGGAGUUCGGGAGAGGAGCGUGGAAUUCCCAGUGUAGAGGUGAAAUUCGUAGAUAUUGGGAAGAACACCGGUGGCGAAGGCGGCGCUCUGGACCGAGACUGACGCUGAGGCGCGAAAGCGUGGGGAGCGAACAGG
RNAcentral lists this ribosomal RNA (253 nucleotides) under uncultured bacterium. RNAcentral's name for it is "partial 16S ribosomal RNA". It matches the Rfam family "Bacterial small subunit ribosomal RNA", at positions 524 to 776 of the family's 1533-position model. The record is from RNAcentral.